This 433-nucleotide ribosomal RNA is filed under the name uncultured bacterium. RNAcentral's name for it is "partial 16S ribosomal RNA". It matches the Rfam family "Bacterial small subunit ribosomal RNA", at positions 29 to 507 of the family's 1533-position model. The record is from RNAcentral.
AACGAACGCUGGCGGCAUGCCUAACACAUGCAAGUCGAACGAGACCUUCGGGUCUAGUGGCGAACGGGUGCGUAACGCGUGGGAACCUGCCCUUAGGUUCGGAAUAACUCCCCGAAAGGGGUGCUAAUACCGGAUAAUGUCUUCGGACCAAAGAUUUAUCGCCUUUGGAUGGGCCCGCGUUGGAUUAGCUAGUUGGUAGGGUAAAAGCCUACCAAGGCGACGAUCCAUAGCUGGUCUGAGAGGAUGAUCAGCCACACUGGGACUGAGACACGACCCAGACUCCUACGGGAGGCAGCAGUGGGGAAUAUUGGACAAUGGGCGAAAGCCUGAUCCAGCAAUGCCGCGUGAGUGAUGAAGGCCUUAGGGUUGUAAAGCUCUAUUACCCGGGAUGAUAAUGACAGUACCGGGAGAAGAAGCUCCGGCUAACUCCGUG